Molecule: non-coding RNA, 100 nt
Organism: Chiloscyllium plagiosum (whitespotted bambooshark)
Lineage: Eukaryota; Metazoa; Chordata; Chondrichthyes; Orectolobiformes; Hemiscylliidae
Source: RefSeq, a predicted model, not a curated record
CUGAUUCUAGCUCAGGGUUUCGUAAGUAGCAGAGCAGCUACCUCGCUGCGAUCUAUUGAAAGUCGUCCCUCGAGCCAACCUUUUGUCAGUAACCAAAGUC